UGGGGAAUAUUGGACAAUGGGCGAAAGCCUGAUCCAGCCAUGCCGCGUGUGUGAAGAAGGUCUUCGGAUUGUAAAGCACUUUAAGUUGGGAGGAAGGGCAGUAAGCGAAUACCUUGCUGUUUUGACGUUACCGACAGAAUAAGCACCGGCUAACUCUGUGCCAGCAGCCGCGGUAAUACAGAGGGUGCAAGCGUUAAUCGGAAUUACUGGGCGUAAAGCGCGCGUAGGUGGAUCGUUAAGUUGAAUGUGAAAGCCCCGGGCUCAACCUGGGAACUGCAUCCAAAACUGGCGAGCUAGAGUAGGGCAGAGGGUGUUGGAAUUUCCUGUGUAGCGGUGAAAUGCGUAGAUAUAGGAAGGAACACCAGUGGCGAAGGCGACCACCUGGGCUCAUACUGACACUGAGGUGCGAAAGCGUGGGGAGCAAACAGG
Molecule: ribosomal RNA, 429 nt
Filed under: Pseudomonadota bacterium
Lineage: Bacteria; Pseudomonadati; Pseudomonadota
Description: Proteobacteria bacterium partial 16S ribosomal RNA
Rfam family: Bacterial small subunit ribosomal RNA
Source: RNAcentral